Callithrix jacchus (white-tufted-ear marmoset) is the source of this 8579-nucleotide non-coding RNA. Lineage: Eukaryota; Metazoa; Chordata; Mammalia; Primates; Cebidae. The record is from RefSeq and is a predicted model, not a curated record.
UUGAAAUAGAGAGUACUUCUAAUGGGUACAGCGUUUCUCAUUGCAGAGAUGAAAAUAUUCUACAAUAGGCUGCAGAAUCUAGAGCACAUUUGCACAACUCUGAAUAUACUAAAAAUGAUUGCAGUGUAUACUUUAAUGGGUGCAUUAUAGGGUAUGGGAAUUAUAUCUCAAUAAAGCUUUAAUUUUAAAAAGGUACAGUGUUGAGUUAAUCAGUGAAAGUUAGAGUUGGCUAAAUUAGUAUCGUUGUUAAGCCUAUCAUAAUUGAUAAUGUUUUAUUGGAAAAGUUGAAAUUUUGUAAAGAAAAUGUAUCAUAUAUUUGAUUGUAAAAAUUUUCACAUAUAAAAUUAAAAAAAUGGAUCUCUGUUUACCCAUCACUCAGCUCAAUAAUUGUCAACAUUUUGUUUCUCUCAUAGCAUGUUUUUAAUGGAUAAUAAUAAUCUGGAAACCAUAUAAACGCUUUUGCACAUAGACACACCUUGUUUUAUUGCAUUUUGCUUUAUUGCUUUUGGCAGAUAUGGUGUUUUUUAUCAAUUGAAGGUUUGUGGCAACUCCGCAUUGAGGAACUCUGUCAAUACCAUUUUUCCAACAGCAUGUAUGUCUAUGUGUCACACUUUGGCAAUUCUCACACUAUUUCAAAAAUUUUCAUUAUUAUUAUAUGUUAUUGUGAUCUGUUAUCAGUGAUCUUUGAUUUACCAUUGUAAUUUUGAGGGGUGGGGUGCCACCCACCGCACUCAUAUAAGACAGUGAACCUAACUGAUAAAUGCUGUGUGCGCUUUGGCUUCUGUACCCACUGUUCUUUGGUCUAUUUCCCUCUCUUCAGACCUUCCUAUUCCCUGAGACACAACAAUAUUGAGAUUAGGUCAACUAAUAACCAUACGAUGGCCUCUAAAUGUUCAAGUGAAAGAAAGAAUCUCAUACCUGUCACUUUAGAUAAAAAACUAGAAAUGAGUCAGGCAUGGUGGCACACACCUGUAGUUCCAGCUACUCAGGAGACUGAGGUGGGAGGAUCACUUGAGCCCAGGAGUUUUAGGCUGCAGUGAGCUAUGAUUGUACCACUGUGCACCAGCCUGGGUGACAGUGAGACCCUGUCUCUAAAAAUAAUUAAGCAAACAAACAAAAUGAGAAAUGAGUAAGCCUAGUGAAGAAGGCAUGUAGAAAACUGAGACAGAGAAGCUGAAAGCUAGGCCUCUUGCACCAAACAAUCAGCCAAGUUCAGGAAAUGAGGCAGAGGUUCUUGAAGGACAUUAAAAGGUGCAACUCCAGUGCACACACAAAUGAUAAGAAAGAGAAAUAGCCUUAUUGCUGAUACAGAGAAAGGUCUGGAUAGAGUAUCACAUCAACCACAAUAUGCCUUUAAGCCAAAACCUAAUCCAGAGCAAGGCCUUAACUCUAUUCAAUGUUGUGAAGGCUGAGAGAGGCAAGGAAGCUACAGAAAAAAGUUUGAAACUAGCAGGUGUUGGAUCACAAGGUGCAAGGAAGGAAGCUGUCUCUGUAACAUAAAAGUGCAAGGUGAAGCAGCAAGUGCUGAUGGAGAAGCUGCAGGAAGUUAUCCAGAAUAUCUAGCUAAGAUCAUUCAGUGAAGGUGGCUACACUGAACAACAAAUCAUCAUUGUAGAUGAAACAACCUUUUAUUGGGGAAAGACGCUGUCUGUUUAGGACUUUCAGAGGAGAAGUCAAAGCCUGGCUUCAAAGCUUCUAAGGACGGGCUGACUCACUUGUUAGUGGCUAAUGCAGUUGGUGACUUUAAGAUGAAGCCAUUUCCAAACUCUUAGGGCCCUAAGAAUUAUGCUAAAUCUACCAUGCCUGUGCCCCAUACAUGGAGCAUCAAAGCCUGAAUGACAGCACAUCUUUUUGUAGCAUGGUUUACUGAAUAUUUUGAGCUGACUGUUGAAACUUAUUGCUCAGAAAAACAAAGAUUGCUUUCAAAAUAUUCUUGCUCAUAGACAAUACACCUAGUCACCCAAGAGCUCUGAUGGAGAUGAGUAAGGAGAUUAAUGUCAUUUUCAUGCCUGCUAACAUAGCAUCCAUUCUGCAGCCAUGGAUUAAAGAGUAAUGUUGACUUUCAAGUCUUACUAUGUAAGAAAUUUAUUUAGUAAGACUAUAACUUCUGUAGAUAGUGAAUUCUCUGACUAAUCUGGGUAAAGUUCAUUGAAAACCUUGUAGAAAGGAUUCGCCAUUCUAGAUGCCGUUAAGAACAUUCUUGAUUCAUGGAGGUCAAAAUAUCAGCAUUAACAGAAAUCUGGAAGAGAUCCGUUUCCAGUCCUCAUGGAUGACUGUGAGUACUUCAGGACUUCAGUGGAGGAAACAAGCUAUGAUUGUGCCAGAUGUGGUAGAAAUAGCAAGAAAAUUAGAAAUGGAGAUCAAAGAUGUGACUGAGCUGCUGCAAUCUCAUGAUCAAACUUGAAUGGAUGAGGAGUUGCUUCUUAGGGAUUAGCAAAGAAAGUGGCUUCUUGAGAUGGAAUCUACUCCUGGUGGAUGCUGUGAACAUUGUUGAAAUGAAAAUAAAGGAUUUUUUAGUUUUAUUUUUAUUCUUUUUGAAAUAGCGUCCCACUCUAUUGCCCAUGCUCGAGUGCAGUGGUACAAUCUUGGCUUACUGCAGCCUCAACCUCUCAGGUUCAAGCAGUCCUCCCACCUCAGCCUCCUGAGUAGCUAGGACUACGAGUGCAUGCCAUCAUGACUGGCUAAUUUCUUGGGGGAAUCUUUUUUUAUAGGGAUGGGUUUUCACCAUGUUGCCCAGGCUGGUAUUGAACUCUUGGGCUCAAGCAAUCCACCUGUCUCAGCCUCCCAAAGUGCGAUUACAGGCAUGAGCCACCACACCUGGCCGAUAACAAAGGAUUUAGAAUAUUUUGCAAACUCAGUUGAUAAAGCACUGGCAGAGUUUGAUAAAGUUAACUCUAGUUUUGAAAAAAAGUUCUACUGUGGUAAAAUACUAUCAAACAGCAUCACAUGCUACAGGGAAACCUUUCCUGAAAGGAAGAGUCGAUUGAUGUGGCAAACUUUAUUGUUAUCUUAAGAACUUGCCAUGGCUACCCCAGUGCUCAGCAACCGCCAUACUGAUUAGUCAGCAGCCAUCUGCACUGAGGCAAGACCCUUGACCAGCAAAAAGAUUAAAACUCGCUAAAGGCUCAGAUGGUUGUUAGCAUUUUUUUUGGCAAUAAAGUAUUCUUAAAUUUGGGUAUGUACAUUUUUAAAAGAUGUAUGCUAUUGUACUUAAUAGAUGACAGUGUAAUAUAAAUAUAACUUUGUUGUUGUUUGUUUGUUUGCCUGUUUUGAGACAGUCUCAUUCUGUUGCCCUGGCUGGAGUGCUGCAGCUUUGACCUUCUGGGCUCAAGCGAACCCCCCCAUCUCCACCUCCCAAGUAGCUGGGACUACAGGACAAGAUAUCCAUGCUCUAAGCUCAGGCGUUUGAAUUUUUUUGGUCAAUGAAAUGUGCGCAGGAGUGGCUUUAAGAGCCAAGCUCUCUUUCCUCCACCUCUGUGAUCAUGAAAGCACAUGUCAAGAUGGAGCUCCCAUUGGCUUGAGUCCCUGAGUGACUAGAAAGAGAAGAACCCCCAGCUGACCGCUUGGAAGCAUGUAGCAUCUAAAGUUGUUUUGACCAUGGCAGAUGAAGGCUCCCAGCCACAAGGGUGAUUGAGUUGCAUCCUCCUCCAUAUGUUGGAGAGGGCUCCCACUUCAUCCGCUGUCCAGCACAUUCAGAGGCCUAAACACCUCAAAAAAAAGAGCUGUCUGCCUGGAGGAUUGGUAUUCUGAACAAAGACCUCCCUGAGAUCCACAGCUGGGCUCCUGAUGAUCUGUAAACACACAUGGCCAAGCCAGGACAAUGGUGCUUCAGCAUCUGGAACCCAAACCUUGGCUAGUGCAUAAAGCUGUGCUGGAGGCUCACCUGCAUCCUUGAUGGCCAGCUCUCUUCCUAACAGUAGCCCGUCUGCGCUCUGUAGUGAUUCCCAGUGACCUCAUGCCAGCAUUGAAGCAACUUCCUGUUCUGCAAAUGAUUUAUGAUUCAUAAUGAGCAAAAGAUUCUGCUCUUCAAAUGACCUGUCACGGUGAGAAAACAUUCUUAAGACUGACCUCCUCACAAAAGUUGAUGAGAACCACAUGAGAAGAUCUUCAACAUCAUUAGCUAUUGGGAAACGCAAGGCUGUUCUUGCAUUACUAUGAAGAAAUACCUGAGAUUGGACACAGUGGCUCACGCCUGUAAUCCCAGCACUUUGAGAGGCUGAGGCAAGAGGAUCACCUCAGGUCAGCAGUUCAAGACCAGCCUGUCUAACAUGGUGAAACCCCAUCUCUACUAAAAAUACAAAAAAAAAAAAAUUAGCUGGGCGUGGUGGUGGGCAGCUGUAAUCCCAGCUACUCGGGAGGCUGAGGUGGGAGAAUUACUUGAACUCAAGAGGCAGAGGUUGUGGUGAGCUGAGACUGCACCCUUGCACUCCAGCCUGGGCAGCAAGAGCCAAAACAAAACACCAACAAAAAAACCUGAGACUGAGUAAUUUAUUUAAAAAAGAGGUUUAAUUGGCUUGUGGUUCUGCAGGCUGUACAGGAAGCAUAGCAACGUCUACUUCUUGGGGGGCUUCUGGAAGCUUCCAAUCAUGGCAGAAGGCAAGUGGGGGGGCAGGCAUGUCACAUGGCAAAAGCAGGAGCAAGACAGAAAGGGUUGGGUGAACGCUGCACUUCUACGCAGUCAGAUCUUGUGAGAACACACUCAUUAUGCCAAGGACAUCACCAGCAGAUGGUGCUAAACCAUUCACUAGAAAUCCACCCCAUGAUCCACUCAUCUCCCACCAGGCCCUGUCUCCAAUACUGGGAAUUACAUUUCAACAUAAGAGUUGGGUCCUCACCCAGACAUACAAACUAUAUCAGUGUUUUCUCCUCCCAGGCUUGGCUACACAUUGGUUCUCAGGCUGUCUUGUAUGGAAGGCACUUGUAAGGGAAUACUCAGUCACCUUUGGGGAUCUGGGAUCCACAACAGAUGGGCAGCAAUUCUGGAACAAACAUGCCCUGGCUUGUGUCAUCUCAUCUUUGUCCUCCAGAGGUGAGCAGUUUCUCACCUCCUGAUCAUCCCAAAUCUCUUUAUCUAUUAAACAAAACCUGGUGAUGAUAAGUUGUACUAUUAGUUUUCUAUUGCAGUGUAGCAAGUACCACAAACUUAGUGGCACUCCCUUAGUGUCUCCAAAUUCUGUCACUCAGAAGUUGGCGUAAGUAUGGCUGGAUUCUCUACUUAGGGUCUCACAAGACUGAAAUCAAGGUGUCAGCCAGGCUAGGCUCCUAUCUGGAGGUUCUAAGGAAGAAUAUACUUCCAAGUUUAUCCCUUAAACUUUUUUUUUUUAGGAGACCCAGUCUUUAUCUGUUGCCCAGGCUGGAGUGCAGUGGCAUGGUCAGAGCUCACUGCAGACUUAAACUUCUGGGUUCAAGCAAUCCUCCCACUUCACCUUCCAAGUAUCUGGGACUACAGGCAGGCACCACCAUGCCUGGCUAAUUUUGAAAAUUUUUUGUGAAGAUGGGGUCUUACUAUGUUGCCCAGGCUGGUCAGGAAUUCCUGGAGUCAAGCAAUCCUCCUGUCCCAGCUUCCUGAGUAGAUGGGAUUAUAGUGUGAACCAACAUGCCUAGCCAAGCUCAUUCUUAUUAUUGGCAGAAAAUUCAGUAACUUGUGACUAUAGGGCUGAGGUCCCAGUUUCCUUGCUGGCUGUGGGCUGGAGUCACCCUUAUCUCAUAGAUGGCAUUCCCUGGUCCUUACACAUGCCCUCCUCAAAAUACCAAGCCUUGGGACCUUUAAUUUUUCUCAUCCUUUGAAUCUCUCUGACUUACCCUUCUGCUGCCGGCUUGAGAAAACUGUCAGCUCUGAAAGGUCUGAUGUGAUCAUAUCAGGCCCAUGAAUAACCUUCCUUUGGAUUUACUCAAAGUCAACUGAUAAGUGACCUUAAUUACAAUUGCAAAAUUCUUUUUGCUGGGUAAAGUAACAUGAUCCCAGGUGUGAUAUUGCAUAAUGUCCACAGUUCUGGGGAUUAGGGUAGGAAACCUUGUGGGUCCUGUUGGAAUUCUGCCUACCACAUUCACAGCCCCUUUUAUCUUAGAAUGUUUAACCUUCACCUUUUCCUCAAUGGGAAGGGAAGGUGAUCUCUUGAUGCUGGAUUCAGGAGAAGAACCUCACUGUGACAAGGUGUUCAAGGGUGCUUGGCGGGGGUAGGAUUAAGAGCCAGGAAGAUGAAUUAGUCUUGGAUGAAGGACAGACAUUUUAUUUACUCAUCCAGCCAUGUUUAUGAAGAACUUCUCUUACCAAUUGCUCAGGAUCUCACAGGGAACAGAACGGAGAUAGUCCACGCCCUCACAGAGCUGACAGUCUGGUGGGGUAGCCCAUAUUAAGGGUAAUGAGUGUUUCCCAAGCAGAAGCAGAGGGUUCUGUGGGAGGAAAACUGAGGCAAGAAUAUCAGAAAGGAGAAAGUGAGCAGCGCUUGACUUAGGUUGAAGGACAGCUUCUGUGGGGAAUGGGAAACUCACCAUCUCCCAGGCAAAGUUAGAGCUUUAAGCUCUAUAAUGGCUUAACCAUUAUAAUCUGGUCGACAGAGCGCCAAGUCCUCCAAGAAUCCUGGGUUCUCCUCAGGUCCCAUGGAUUACCAGGAAAUGCCCUGUCUUAGCUCAUUCGCUCAGCCUAGAGGUUACUAACCUGAGUAACAUGCUUACUAGGGCUGGAAUGUAAUACAAAUAUGUGAAACAGGCUGUGUGUAAAGAAAAGAACCUGGCAAGUGUGUUGGCAAAUGGCAAAUAGUGGCCCAGGACCUCAGUCUCAGGGAUUAAUCAGGAACUGAACAGGAGUGUGGAUACCUCUCUAAGGGGACCGCCAGUACUUAGUCCAGCUGAUUAUGCCAUGGGGGACAAACUGUCAGAUCAACUGGCUUUUAACAAAAUUCAGAUUACCUUCUGAAACAUCUCGGAUUUUAAAAAGCUGAGUAAUUUAAAAUGUAAGUAAUUUUUAAAAAUGUAAGGACCUCUAAAAAAUGUAAUGUAAGGGGUGAUGGAUGUGAAGUUGUUUAUGGCCCGUGGUCGUUUGUGGCUUUCCAGAUUGCCCUUGUGCAAUUUUGUUUUGGAUGUUCCAGCCCCAGCUUGAACCAAGAAAAAUUCUGAGCAUGAAGGUGGCCUCUGCAUCUCAGGGCUCCCAAGUCAGAAGUUCUUCAGAGACAUCUUUUAGAUUUCAGCAGAGGGAAUCUCGUGUCUGCUCCUUGAGAGUUCCCCCUUCCACUGUGAUGAUGACAACAAUCCCAUUGCCCUUUCUGCUGUGCAUGUUAGAGGCUCAGAGUUCAAUUUAAUUGAUUGUUUCUCCUGAAUCCAGUAUUUUUUCUUCAUCAUCCUUCAGGUGGUCUUAUCGACUCAGGCAACUGUACAGGCUUCUAUUCCACUUCCUAGCACUUACUAUCCGACUCUGGACAGAAAAAAAAAUAUCUACAGGUACCUGUAGACCCAAAGGCACUGUGUAGGCACUCUAUAAAUAUUUGCGGGUUGAACCCAUGAUGUGUUGGCCAUUGUUUUUUGUUAGUGUAAGAAAUGGACAUAUGUAAAAGAACUUUGUACAUUUUGUAAUCACUAUUAUUAAAGAACUCAUCCUUUGCCUUGCUCAAUGACCCUUAAUUAGUUAGGUUGGCCAACCAUACCAAUUUUCUCAGGACUGAGGGAGUUCUUAGGAUGUAGGAUUUACAGUUUUAAAGCUGAGAUGGAGCCAGGCAUGGUGGCUCACACUUGUAAUCCCAACACUUUGGGAGGUCAAGGCAGGAGGAGCGCUUGAGCCCAGGAGUUUGAAACCAGCCUGGGAAAUAUAGUGAGAUCUCCUCUCUACAGAAAAUUUAAAAACUAGCUAAGCAUGGUGGCAUGUGCCUGUAGUCCCAGCUACUUGGGAGGCUGAGGUAGGAGAAUCACUUGAGACCAGAAGGCAGUGAGUUGCAGUGGGCCAAGAUUGUGCCACUACACUCCAGCCUGGGCAACAGAGAGAGACCCUGUCUCAAGCAACAGCAACAAUAACAAACAGACAAACAAAACCCAAACAUGAGACGGAGCAGUUUCCCAGGAUAAGAGACUGUCCCAGGAAAAGGGAGAUGAGUUUGUCACUCUACCCUAAAUAAAGACCCAAAGGAAAACAAUAUUCUCUUGAAGCUCAAAAAAUUAUAAAAGCCUUUUUUUUCUGCUGAACUGGGGAGUUUCCUUUCAUCUUCUCAUGGCAGUUUUGAAAGCUUUCAUGUUUCCCUCUUUGCCUUGGCCUCAAAGUAGCUCCAAGGUAAGUUUGUGGGUAAUGUCAGUAGGAUCUGUCAGUCUAGAUGUGCAAAAUAAUUGUUUCAUUGCCUCUACCUUGCUUUUUACUUUUUUCUCUUUAGAAAUUUUAACUUAUGUUGCAAAUUGGACUUGGAAUUCUAUUAAACGACUCUUACCCAGCAUACAUGAAAAAUGCCUAGGCUUUUUGUCUUUUUACUUCCCUUCAUUUGGUUACUAGUUCAUUCUAUGUGUUUAUUAAAUUAUUUCAGUGGUUGGCAAACUAUGGCUUAUGGGCCAAAUCUGGGCUCACUGCCUCUUUCUGUAAAAAACAAAAAACUUUUAUCAGA